This 433-nucleotide ribosomal RNA is filed under the name uncultured bacterium. RNAcentral describes it as "partial 16S ribosomal RNA". It matches the Rfam family "Bacterial small subunit ribosomal RNA", at positions 29 to 507 of the family's 1533-position model. The record is from RNAcentral.
AACGAACGCUGGCGGCAUGCCUAACACAUGCAAGUCGAACGAGACCUUCGGGUCUAGUGGCGCACGGGUGCGUAACGCGUGGGAACCUGCCCUUAGGUUCGGAAUAACUCCCCGAAAGGGGUGCUAAUACCGGAUAAUGUCUUCGGACCAAAGAUUUAUCGCCUUUGUAUGGGCCCGCGUUGGAUUAGCUAGUUGGUAGGGUAAAAGCCUACCAAGGCGACGAUCCAUAGCUGGUCUGAGAGGCUGAUCAGCCACACUGGGACUGAGACACGGCCCAGACUCCUACGGGAGGCAGCAGUGGGGAAUAUUGGACAGUGGGCGAAAGCAUGAUCCAGCAAUGCCGCGUGAGUGAUGAAGGCCUUAGAGUUGUAAAGCUCUUUUACCUGGGAUGAUAAUGACAGUACCGGGUGAAUAAGCUCCGGCUAACUCCGUG